Molecule: ribosomal RNA, 473 nt
Filed under: uncultured bacterium
Lineage: Bacteria
Description: SSU rRNA
Rfam family: Bacterial small subunit ribosomal RNA
Source: RNAcentral
AGGAUAAACGCUGGCGGCGUGCAUGAGACAUGCAAGUCGAACGGACGAUUCGGGCUUGCUCGAAUCGUUAGUGGCGGACGGCUGAGUAACGCGUAGGUGACCUGCCCCGAAGUGGGGAAUAACUGCCCGAAAGGGUGGCUAAUACCGCAUGUGGUCGCACGUUCAUUCGUGCGAGUAAAGCCGCAAGGCGCUUCGGGAGGGGCCUGCGUCCGAUUAGCUCGUUGGUGGGGUAAUGGCUCACCAAGGCGACGAUCGGUAGGUGGUCUGAGAGGACGAUCACCCAGACUGGGACUGAGACACGGCCCAGACUCCUACGGGAGGCAGCAGUCGGGAAUUUUUGCUCAAUGGGCGAAAGCCUGAAGCAGCAACGCCGCGUGAGGGAUGAAGGCCUUCGGGUCGUAAACCUCUUUUUCCGGGACGAUAAUGACGGUACCCGGCGAAUAAGCCACGGCUAACUACGUGCCAGCAGCCGC